GUUUACCUACGGGGCGCAGCAGUGGGGGAUAUUGCACAAUGGAGGAAACUCUGAUGCAGCGACGCCGCGUGAGGGAAGACGGUCUUCGGAUUGUAAACCUCUGUCUUUGGGGAAGAAAAUGACGGUACCCAAAGAGGAAGCUCCGGCUAACUACGUGCCAGCAGCCGCGGUAAUACGUAGGGAGCGAGCGUUGUCCGGAAUUACUGGGUGUAAAGGGAGCGUAGGCGGGCGAGAAAGUUGAAUGUGAAAUCUACCGGCUUAACUGGGAGCUGCGUUCAAAACUUCUUGUACUGAGUGAAGU
This 301-nucleotide ribosomal RNA is filed under the name uncultured bacterium. RNAcentral's name for it is "bacterial SSU rRNA". It matches the Rfam family "Bacterial small subunit ribosomal RNA", at positions 333 to 652 of the family's 1533-position model. The record is from RNAcentral.